Molecule: long non-coding RNA, 1644 nt
Organism: Mangifera indica (mango)
Lineage: Eukaryota; Viridiplantae; Streptophyta; Magnoliopsida; Sapindales; Anacardiaceae
Exons: 5
Source: RefSeq, a predicted model, not a curated record
CAACCUGUUUCUCCUUUUUUCAGCUGAUAGGGUUUUAUUUAAUUAACUUUUGUAUCUCUUCUAGGGGAUGUCUAAUCUUAAUGAAGUGAGAAUUCCCGUCGUAUCUCCCCCGCAACAACAGAUAAUGCAGCAGCUGCAGGAAAUGCUUCAAAUGAAGGAAAAUAUGAGAAUAAUGAUCAAAGCGUAAAUGAAGACCCAAUUAAAACAUUGUACAAAGCGGCAUUGAAAAAUGACUGGGAAACAGCUUAUGAUAAAGUUUUCAACAGAAAUCCGGCGAAAAAUUCAAAAUAUUUAACACCUAGGAUAUCUGAAAAUGGGGGCACCGCACUUCACAUUGCAGUUGCAGCAGAGUCCUUUACUUUCGCCCAAAACCUUGUAAAAUACAUGAAGAAAGACGAUUUGGCUAUUCAAAAUAGUGACGGCGAUACUGCAUUUUUUCUUGUUGCUGCAUACGAAAAGGUGGGAGUUGCCAAGGCGAUGUUUAGGAAGAAUAAUUAUCUACCAGGUAUACACGGCCGUAGAGUCCAGAAGAAGUUACCGAUUCAUAUCGCAGCUCAGUAUGGCUGUGAAAAGAUGAGAGAGUAUCUUCAGGGAGUAACGAAAGACAUGACAAAACAGGACAAGGAAAAAUUAAAGGAAUAUCUUGGAAAAUACUUGUUUGCCAGUAGACAAUCCCCCAGCACAACUUGGAUGGCCUACAAGUCGUGUCCCCAUGAAGCCAAACCCAAAAAGAAGGACCUGAUCUAGGUAACGGGUUGCCUUGACCACUUGUCAUGUCUAUUGCUAUUGAUGCAAAAGUUAUUGUUGAGUUUGUUAAGUUUAAUUUUACAAAUCACAUUGGAUUAGUCAAAAUUUUCUUCUUUCUUUUUUUUGUGUGUGCUUCACUCAUAAAUAUAAAUUUGUAAUUUCAGUGGUAAACAUCUUCAUUGAUAAUAAUGAAUGUUAAAAUACAUCAAACUCACAGAUUGGCUAGAAUCAAAGUGGGUUAACUUUGAACAAGACCUAUAGAAUUUAACUGACUCAAAUCCAAUUAUAAAGAUCGACUCAUACUUUACUUAUUCCAUCUUAACUCGAUUCAAGCUCUACCAACAAAUAAUAAGAAAUCAAUAUACAAAGUAACAACUAAACAGCAAGGGAAAAUAGCCCUAAUGGAUGAAUCCAGCCCCAUUCAUUUUUUACAGUUUACUCUGAAGCUUCCCCAACUGUGAUUGCCUGGCUGUGACUCCUUGGAGAUACUCCUUCAAGCUGUGCGACUCAGGAAAUAGAAGAAGGAGGAAGAUCAGUAACGAUGUCCAAUCUGUUUUCAAUGCGCAGGAGAUGAAGAUUGCUGAGUGCAUUGAACACUUUCCUGAAUCCUUCGUUUCCAACCUUGGGGCUGGCGAAGACAAAGGCCGUGACCAUGCAUGCUUUGUUCGAACCUGUGCGCUUAUUGUAUUGAUUGGUAACUAUAUCAGUUGCGUUCAAUGUUGCAAGAGCUGCACCGAGACUGUGACCUGCUACUGUUAUACUGAUUUCCUCUUUCCUGUACUCGGGCUUGUUCACCAGAUUCUUAACAGCAUUCAGCACCUACGUAAAUGUACCAUAAUAGAAAUACAUAUCAAGAAAAAAGAAAAUGAAGAAAUCAGUAAAUUAUUUUGAUUUAAU